Molecule: non-coding RNA, 696 nt
Organism: Camellia sinensis
Lineage: Eukaryota; Viridiplantae; Streptophyta; Magnoliopsida; Ericales; Theaceae
Source: RefSeq, a predicted model, not a curated record
AAUUGCUAUGCCAAGGUUAUGGCAAGCAAGACAAAGAUCUACAUUGUGCUCGAGUAUGUUGGCGGGGCGAGCUUUUUGACAAAAUAGCCAAACUAGGAAGACUUAAAGAGGAUGAAGCUAGGAGAUAUUUUCAGCAGCUCAUCAAUGCUGUAGACUACUGCCACAGUAGAGGCAUGUACCAUAGAGACUUAAAGCCCGAGAAUCUGCUUCUAGACUCAUUUGGUGUUCUCUAGGUUUCAGACUUUGGAUUGAGUGCAUUUUCCCAGCAAAUGCGGGUAAGUAUUAUGUGAGUUUGCGACAAUUUCCUCAUCUAAGAGCAGAUUUUUAGUAGGUGGGUGUUAAUAAAUUGAAUGUUAAAUUUUUAAAAGUGGUUGCAGCACUGAGUCAAUUUUGCAGUCUAUUUGGUUUACUAAAAUCACCUAGUCCAGAAACUACCUUUCCGGCCAGGAGUAAUGCCCUGCUCUGAAAGGAAUUCCUUAGGAAUAAUGUGGCCAUUAGUUUUUCUUCUGUCCUUCAGUGGCUUGUUCAUUUCUUGUUUCUAUUAAUUUGGAAAUGAACUUUUUUUUUAUGAUUUGUGUCUUUCCUUUCCCUCUUUUUAUAUUAGUUUCCCCAAAUCAAGGAGGCAGUUUAGUUUUAUUAGUUGACUUCUUCAUAAGAUUUUGUAUCAUGCAUCAUCUAGAUUUCAAUACUUUGAAA